CUAAGAAUCUUCCGCAAUGGGCGAAAGCCUGACGGAGCGAUGCCGCGUGAUCGAAGAAGGUCGAGAGAUUGUAAAGAUCUUUUCUCCAUGAGGAAUAAGCCGAGGAGGGAAUGCCUUGGUGAUGACGUUAGUGGAGGAAUAAGCCCCGGCUAAUUACGU
RNAcentral lists this ribosomal RNA (159 nucleotides) under uncultured Spirochaeta sp. Its description in RNAcentral is "partial 16S ribosomal RNA". It matches the Rfam family "Bacterial small subunit ribosomal RNA", at positions 355 to 506 of the family's 1533-position model. Lineage: Bacteria; Pseudomonadati; Spirochaetota; Spirochaetia; Spirochaetales; Spirochaetaceae. The record is from RNAcentral.